RNAcentral lists this long non-coding RNA (1255 nucleotides) under Capsicum annuum. RNAcentral describes it as "long non-coding RNA (CANN_LNC013321)". Lineage: Eukaryota; Viridiplantae; Streptophyta; Magnoliopsida; Solanales; Solanaceae. The record is from RNAcentral.
GGGUCAAUAAUCGCCGCAAAUUAAUUACGGGGGUCGUAACGGUCACAAAUUAAUUAUGGGGGUCGAAAAAAAAUCGCCACAAAUUGUUUGUGACGGCUUGUAUUCUGGGGGUUUUGGAAACUGCCAGAAUUAAAACCCCCGCAAAUCGUAAAAUUAAUCCCCGCAACUUGAUCCGUUUUUUGUAGUGGCGUGCCGCCCAUAAUCUGUGGUAGAGAAACCAACAUGACGUUGGAAUCCCGGAAAGAGGCCAAUCUAACAUAGGUCCCUACAAAUUCUAGGAAGGAUGUUUCGGACUUGGAAUUUUUACGACUCUAAAUACAUUAAGUAGAAACUCAAAACCUCAAGAACAGAUAGGCGAGAUAGCACUUCCAGCAUAUUGAUAAACAAGAUUAACCUUAACAACAACUACCGCAAGCGAAGAUUAACCUUAACAACAACUACCGCAAGCGAGUUGGAGCCGACUAUAUGAAUUUCCACUAAACAUGUCGGAAUCGUUGUUUGCUUGGCAGCAGCUGCCAUUUGUGCACGAGCUGCUCUUCUUGCAAUAGAUUUUUCAUAUUGUUCUUGCCUGUAGCAACAGGGGAUAGAUAAUGCAGGCCAAGCAAACAUUUUAUUUCAAAGAUCUAGUAAAGCACCAAAAUUAGGAGCGACGGCAUCUUAUGGUAAUUACACAUAAACUAUGAAAUUAAAAUUUUAAUUUCAUCAAGAGAAAAUCGAAAGUGGGCAUAUCAUCAAAUACGUUGGAUGCAUACCACAAAUUGACGAUGCUAUCCCCUUCAAAUCUGAAUGAACAACAAUCACCCAAAAUACCUAAAAAAAAAAAAAAAAAACAAUAUUUUUUCCUCUUACUUCAUAAAACUAAACUCUGAUCUAUCAAAUUGAACCCAUUCAAAAAGAAAGUCAUAACUCGGUGCUAUUCUAUGAUGGAUUAUUAUUGCACUGAUCUUUUUGAUGCAGAGAAAAACUCAGAUUACAAUAUAGUCAUAAAUCAGUCAGCACACAAGUAAAAUCGAUAAUAAAAAGCCAAGAGAAUAAAAAGACAAAAGAAACACAAAAGACCAUAGAUUCUCCAAAACACUUACAGAUUGAAGGUUUGAGCUUAAUUAUCCGUUACUGAUUAGUCGAAUUUCUUUUUAUUAGUCAAUAUGUAAUUUGAGGAUUCAGAUAUUAUAUGAAAUGGCUAAAGGAAGAAGAUGAUAGUUCUAGAACGGUGAAAAAAGCUAGAGAUUAAGGAAUUGAUAAGUACAACAUCCAG